Tupaia belangeri (northern tree shrew) is the source of this 132-nucleotide small nucleolar RNA. Its record names the gene SNORA70. It matches the Rfam family "Small nucleolar RNA SNORA70". Rfam says of the family: snoRNA U70 seems to be exclusive to mammals and is a member of the H/ACA class of snoRNA which contain H (ANANNA) and ACA box motifs. The record is from Ensembl. NCBI's taxonomy places the organism in Eukaryota, Metazoa, Chordata, Mammalia, Scandentia, Tupaiidae.
CUGCAUAGGCUUUUGAAGAGUCAUAAAUAUUCUUCAUGGGGUCUAGUGUGCAAUGGUUGCAAACAGCAGACUCCUGGGUACCGUGCAGCCUGUUUCUUGCAGGAAUUGCCCUAAGGGACCUUGGAGUCAGCC